CUUAUUGUUUUUAUUGCAGCCCAUUAUAUUUAUAAUUCAAUUAAAAAAAUAAAGAAAAAGGAUGGAAAACGGAAAUGGUGGAGUUUUGGGAGGAAGUUAGGGCUAAGGACUUAUGACGUUCCGGUUCAUAAACAAAAUAUGCUAUCUCCCUCUCUCCUCGUCUUCUCCUUCAAACCUACGGAAAUCGCUCCGCCAUACCGGAGGCGAUGGAGCUCAUCCAAUCCCCAAAUCUAUUACACCUUUACCUUCAUCUUAUCUGUCUCUAUCUUCUUCUCACCUCAAUUUUCCAGAUCCCGUUUCCAUCUUCCAAAUUUGGGUUAA
Molecule: non-coding RNA, 321 nt
Organism: Vicia faba (fava bean)
Lineage: Eukaryota; Viridiplantae; Streptophyta; Magnoliopsida; Fabales; Fabaceae
Source: the annotation of a GenBank genome assembly